Non-coding RNA from Pelobates cultripes (western spadefoot toad), 512 nucleotides. Lineage: Eukaryota; Metazoa; Chordata; Amphibia; Anura; Pelobatidae. The record is from the annotation of a GenBank genome assembly.
CCCACUACCAGUUCCCCUCCUGACAUUAGGUUCUGGAUCUACCCCUGCUCUGUAUGCCUUUGUCUGUAUGACUAUAUGUCUGUGUAUGAUUGUGUGUGUAUGCCUGUGUCUGUAUGUCUCUAUAUGACUGUAUCUGAAUGUAUCUGUAUGCCUUGUUCUGUAUGUCUCUAUAUGACUGUAUCUGAAUGUCUCUGUAUGCCUUGUUCUGUAUGUCUUGUUCUGUAUAUCUCUGUGUGACUAUAUGUCUGUGUAUGCAUGUCUCUGCAUGCCUGUAUGUCUCUGUAGGACUUUGUUCAUAUGUCUAUGUGUGCCUUAUUCUGUAUGUCACUGUAUGCAUCUUUAUGUCUCUAUAUUACUGCAUCUUUAUGUCUCUGUAUGACUGUGUCUAUGUCUGUGUUUGUAUAUCUCUGUAUAACUGUGUCUGUAUUUCUCUAUAUGACAGUGUCUAUGUGUGUGUCUGUAUGUCUGUGUUUGUAUGACUAUGUUUAAUUUUGUGCCUGCAUAUCUCUGUG